GGUUCAGUAGUUCAGAAGAGUAGAACGCUUGCCUGUCACGCAAGAGGUCGCGGGUUCGAGUCCCGUCUGGACCGCCA
This 77-nucleotide transfer RNA is filed under the name Coprobacillus sp. OF03-2AA. Its description in RNAcentral is "tRNA-Asp". It matches the Rfam family "tRNA". From Rfam's summary of the family: Transfer RNA (tRNA) molecules are approximately 80 nucleotides in length. Their secondary structure includes four short double-helical elements and three loops (D, anti-codon, and T loops). Further hydrogen bonds mediate the characteristic L-shaped molecular structure. tRNAs have two regions of fundamental functional importance: the anti-codon, which is responsible for specific mRNA codon recognition, and the 3' end, to which the tRNAs corresponding amino acid is attached (by aminoacyl-tRNA synthetases). tRNAs cope with the degeneracy of the genetic code in two manners: having more than one tRNA (with a specific anti-codon) for a particular amino acid; and 'wobble' base-pairing, i.e. permitting non-standard base-pairing at the 3rd anti-codon position. Lineage: Bacteria; Bacillati; Bacillota; Erysipelotrichia; Erysipelotrichales; Coprobacillaceae. The record is from RNAcentral.